UGAAUUUGAAAUCCACUAUCCAAUGUCUAAAUUUGAAAUCCACUAUUCACUGUACGUGUUGUCAACCCCAUCCCUCUAACAUAAAUAUCGCGUAAGAAUUCGAAAACCACUAUUUACUAAAACCACUAUCCACUAUUCACUGUCUAAAUUUGAAAUCAAUUAUUCACUGUCUAAAUUUGAAAUCCACUAUUCACUGUACGCGUUGUCAACCCCAUCCCUCUAACGUAAUCCACUAUUUAAUGUCGAAAACCACUAUUUACUAAAACCACUAUUUACCGUAAGCGCAUCGACACCCCCUCAUCUAUUCCUCGCGCUCGCAGCAGGUAUAUUUUAUCUGAAAUCCACUACAAGUUCAUCAAAAAUCACUACAAAAAUAUAGAAAUCCACUACAAAAGAUCCCUUUACAAAGAGGAAACCCACAAAAAAACUUGCCUAAAUUCACAAAAAAAAUCUCCUUUAAUAAACAAUGUCAUUGCAGACAAUAGUAGAGUCACCCGAGCAUCACCCAACCUCGUCCUACUUGUUGCCAUCACUCCGUUUGUGCAAAAACCUGAACCAAAGAAAAAGAAGACAAUAACGUGUAAAUUUAAUUCAUUCAAAACAAAAUCGGUUUACAAAGCAACAAUUUUAAAUCUACUACAAUCUCAUCCAAACCCACUACACAAAGUUAGAAAGAGAAAUAAACAUAUAAAACUUACUAAACAUAUGAAACUGACUAAACAUUCUCCCCCACGAACAGAACAUGAGUUUCCAUUCGAAUGGAAGGAAAUACGAUAUUAAAUUAAAUUAUUAUUAAAAACUGUGCAUUCCCAUUUACUGAAAACAAAUAUUCAAUUAAAAUUGAAAGGCUCCGAAAAAUCAAGUAAACAAAAUUGAACAAGAAAUAAUCAAAAUUCUCCAUAUUUUUCAAAUUAUCCAUACAUCUCGUCGAUCCCAUCGCAAAAAAAAAAAACAGAGAACACAAAAUAAUCAAAAUUCUCCAUACUUUUCAAAUUACCCGUACAUCUCGUCGCUCCCAUCACAAAAAAAAACACAGGCUCUUUCUGUGUUGUCUGGGAGAGAUGGAGAUCUCCGCUCUAGAGGCGGUGAUGAUGACGAAGCGGUGGAGGUCUCACGUCAGCGAAGAUGACCGAGAUUUGGAGGAAGAUAUCUC
Molecule: long non-coding RNA, 1153 nt
Filed under: Erythranthe guttata (spotted monkey flower)
Lineage: Eukaryota; Viridiplantae; Streptophyta; Magnoliopsida; Lamiales; Phrymaceae
Description: long non-coding RNA (EGUT_LNC001968)
Source: RNAcentral